AUCUCCUACUCUGGGCUAUGCUCAUUUCUACUUUUUCAUUUUAUGCAAAAUUGCAACAUAUGUAAAAAUAACUUUUUCAACCUCCGUCUUGGUAUGAUUACAAUCUGGACCAACAUU
This is a long non-coding RNA of Thalassophryne amazonica, 117 nucleotides long. RefSeq lists it as uncharacterized. NCBI's taxonomy places the organism in Eukaryota, Metazoa, Chordata, Actinopteri, Batrachoidiformes, Batrachoididae. The transcript has 3 exons. The record is from RefSeq and is a predicted model, not a curated record.